GAGUUUGAUCGUGGCUCAGAACGAACGCUGGCGGCGUGGAUAAGACAUGCAAGUCGAACGGGAGAAUUGCUAGCUUGCUAAUAAUCCUCUAGCGGCGCACGGGUGAGUAACACGUGAGUAACCUGCCCCCGAGAGCGGGAUAGCCCUGGGAAACUGGGAUUAAUACCGCAUAGUAUCGAAAGAUCAAAGCAGCAAUGCGCUUGGGGAUGGGCUCGCGGCCUAUUAGUUAGUUGGUGAGGUAACGGCUCACCAAGGCGAUGACGGGUAGCCGGUCUGAGAGGAUGUCCGGCCACACUGGAACUGAGACACGGUCCAGACACCUACGGGUGGCAGCAGUCGAGAAUCAUUCACAAUGGGGGAAACCCUGAUGGUGCGACGCCGCGUGGGGGAAUGAAGGUCUUCGGAUUGUAAACCCCUGUCAUGUGGGAGCAAAUUAAAAAGAUAGUACCACAAGAGGAAAGAGACGGCUAAACUCUGUGCCAGCCGCCGCCGUAAG
This 496-nucleotide ribosomal RNA is filed under the name uncultured microorganism. RNAcentral describes it as "bacterial SSU rRNA". It matches the Rfam family "Bacterial small subunit ribosomal RNA", at positions 9 to 524 of the family's 1533-position model. The record is from RNAcentral.